CGCAUCCUCUUCUCACCCGGUUCGCCCGUCCUGUCCGGGACGCCACCGGCUCGUCGGCUCUGGGAUGGACCUGCUCCUCUGCCCUCAUGAAGCCUUAGGGCGGAAGUAGUGACCCUCCAUUCCCCGGCGCCAGCCCGGGGCUCAGAGUUGCCAACGUGCUCACCAGAAGAUGGAUGGGGAAGUGAAGUCAGCUUCAGCAAAAGAAACCAAUGAGCAGGAGAGAUGAAGAGAGGAAUCCUGCUGACUAUGCCAAAAUAUUUUACCAGAGGGUCUCAGCUCCUGGCAAGUUCACUCUGUAUCCCGUGUGAUGGAGUAGCUCGGACCUUUAUAAUCAGCAGCCAAGAGCAGGCAAGCUUCAAGAUUCAGGGUCCCAGGGGUAUCACAAAGCUCCAGACCAGAGAUGGAACAGUAAGAGAGGAGGGGCUCAGGAUCCAGAGGAAGUUAGCGCCAUGACACCACACAGGCCUCCCAGCGGCGCCUUCCUCAAAAGUCAGUGCGGAGGCUGGAGCUAGAGCCCCAGGUGAGUGUCUGUUGUGGGUUCUUGCGCUGACACUCCCCAGGCACCAACUGUGCUUUACCAGCCUGCUGCCCCGCUGCUUCCUUCUGCCACCCCCUUCACUAGGCUGCUUCAUGGCCCUCUUGGGGCUACAGAGAAUACACACAGAGCUGUGCUGAGCUCCUGGCCAUCCACAAGGCUAACCUGGCUCUUGGAAAGAGAAGUGACCCCAAGACUGAGGAAAAGGGCUCUUGCCCAUCAGCACACCCACCACUUCCUACAGGGCCCAUGCCAUGGCUAGUCCUGUCCAGGGGCAGAACAGUCUGAAUGGUGCACUGCAGA
Molecule: long non-coding RNA, 838 nt
Organism: Manis javanica (Malayan pangolin)
Lineage: Eukaryota; Metazoa; Chordata; Mammalia; Pholidota; Manidae
Source: RefSeq, a predicted model, not a curated record